Long non-coding RNA from Lingula anatina, 169 nucleotides. The record is from RefSeq and is a predicted model, not a curated record. NCBI's taxonomy places the organism in Eukaryota, Metazoa, Brachiopoda, Lingulata, Lingulida, Lingulidae.
CCUGGUUUUACUGGAACUACGUGUGACGUAGAGAUCAAUGAAUGUUCUAGUCAACCGUGCCAGCGGGGAGAAACAUGUGUGGAUUUGGUAAACGGCUAUCGAUGCAUCUGCCAAGUUGGACACGAUGGAAAGCAAUGCACUUUGAAAGUGGUUGAUCAUUGUCGCAGUC